Lycium ferocissimum is the source of this 2355-nucleotide RNA transcript. RefSeq lists it as uncharacterized. The transcript is spliced from 6 exons. The record is from RefSeq and is a predicted model, not a curated record. Lineage: Eukaryota; Viridiplantae; Streptophyta; Magnoliopsida; Solanales; Solanaceae.
UUUUACUCGAUAACUAACGAAUGUCAUGAAUAAAUGAAUAGGAUUUAUGCUGCAAAGUAAUAUGUCGAUGUGAGAUCAUGAAUUCGAGGAAAUAAAAAUUUAAACGUGUUUCAUUAUUUUAAAAUGCUUUCCUCCAUACGGAACACACCCUACACUGAGGAAAGUUUCCCAGGAUUCUCUUUCAAACAUGAUAAUGUCAAGCUACCAGAUGCAUCUAGGUGUACAUGUAUAAAUUUUAUUAAAUAGGAUUAUAUUAUUCAUAUCAAGAACUUUGCGCAAUAUUUUUUGUCAAUUGUCGGUCUGUUCAGUUGACCUCAGAGAAUUCCUAUCAUGUACUUUGUUUGUUGAUAAUCAUUGUAUGCUGGAAUUUAUACAACAUGCUCCUCUGUCAGUGAACAAUUCAAAAGCAAAAACAUUUCUGACACUUUACUUUUCCCAUUCGAAUGGACCUUAUCCACUUUACUAGAGUUGUACACUGUUGUCUGGAAAAGUGGGAAACUGAGAAGAGAUCAAUACACCUCCAAGGAAUGAAGAAGGUUCACCAGAUAUGAAAUCCUCCCAUAUUGCCGUGGAUGAAGAACGAUGGCAUUUCCCUUGGACGCUUAGAAUGACAUAACUGAUAUUUUAGACCUCACAUUCAGCAUCGAUGCUGAUGAAGAAAAGUUGAUGCUUUACGAACGCGAUGAGGUGACUGACUACGACCUAAUCCCGGGUGGAUGAAAUAUCUGAGUCACUGAAGAAAAUAAGCAAUAGUAUGUUGACUUGGUUGCUGAGCAUGGGUUGACGACUGCUAUCCGCCCUAUGAUAAAUGCAUUUUUGGAAGGUUUUCAGUGAAUUGAUCCCACGGGAUCUGGUCUCUAUUUUUCACGACAAGGAACUUGAGCUGAUAAUUAGCGGUCUUCCAAACAUCGUUCGUGCCGUUGGAAGGGUUUAGUGCACUGCAAGGAAUUUCAGGUUCCCAGAAAUUUCAGAUCCACAAAGCUUAUGCCAGUCCUGAUCACUUGCCUUCCGCACUUACAUGGUAAUUAUUUUAUCAUCUGAAACUAGACGAUGGUUGCCCUCCUGAUGCUGAAGAUUUCUGCCAGUAAAGAUCUAUGUUGCUCACUCUCCAAAUUACUUAACCUUCUUUCAUUUUUGUUACCAUCCUAUUUUGCUUGUAUUUCUGAAUUUACCAGUAGAAGCCCAUGUUGCUUCCUCUGUCCAAAUUACUUCACUUGCUUUCCUUUUUAUGUGCAUCCUAAUUUACUGCAGAUGAGUUGGCAGCUCUUCUCUCUGAGACGGUAAAGCUUUCUUAUUUGAGUAUUUUAAUCCAAUGUUGAGUAAUAUUAUGUGAUAUUAUCCUAAACUUGAAUUACAUUUCAACUAUUGAUAGUAAUUUUUUAACACAAAGUAGAAAACUUCUUUCUUCGGAACUGGAUGGAGGUGUUGUGGAUUUGACUUCUACUCCAUUACUUAUUUACUGCAAACACUCCUUAACUAUUACUUACAGCUGGUGCGAGCAUCCAUGUAAAUAUUAAAUAUGGUACAGAGUGCACAUCCCUUAGGAUAGACUAAACACUAGCCCAGAUUAUCUUUGUCUUGUAAUGUGUUCUUGCUAUAGUGAUUGAACAUUUAGAGAUUUCAGAUUAUACUUUAGUGUAUGUAGACGUAGUGUCUUGUUUUUGUUACUAUUUUUGAAUGAUGAGGAGACGGGCAUCAGGAAACUUGGGAACUUGGUCCAAAAAAAAAAAAAGGCAUUGGGAAACCUGAUAAGAACUUUUUGUUCAUGUAUUAUUUUUCCUUUUUACCAGUUACCUGACACAAAUCGUCCAAAGGUUUCUCAGGUAAUUCCUAUUACUUGAGCAAAUCAUUAACUUUGUAUGUAAUUCAAUAUUUUUGCAUAUUUGUCAACAUUUAAAGGUCUUAGAUGUAUAUACCAUGUUUUUUAUACUUAUAUAUAUGUAGUAACAUACCAAUUGUUCGCCCUUUUACCUUAUAACUCAUAAUAUUUAUUUUUAUACUUCUCUCAACUCCAAUUUACUUAGUUGAUUUGUAUUUGCCUGUUUCUCCAGGUAUCUCAAAAUCUUCCUAUGUUGUGGUUUUUGGGAUGCAGAAGACUUGGCUAUUAAGCUUGGGACUCCAGCUCAUUGCAAAUGUUGCAUUAGGAUAUGCUUUUUUUGUCUUUGAAGAUAUAAACAAUUCUUAUAUUGUUGGGAAGGUUGGAGAAAGAAGUGGAAAUCUAUUACUAAAGUUGUAUGCAAUUCAGUUUAUCUCUCUUAACAAUAGUGUUCAUAUAGACAACUUGGAACGGAUAACUUCUUACGUACAUUAUGUUGUAUUAAAAUUACCAGUUAAAUGAUAUCCUCUUUUCAGUUU